This 253-nucleotide ribosomal RNA is filed under the name uncultured bacterium. Its description in RNAcentral is "partial 16S ribosomal RNA". It matches the Rfam family "Bacterial small subunit ribosomal RNA", at positions 524 to 776 of the family's 1533-position model. The record is from RNAcentral.
UACGGAGGAUGCAAGCGUUAUCCGGAAUGAUUGGGCGUAAAGCGUCCGCAGGUGGCUGUGUAAGUCUGCUGUUAAAGAGUCUAGCUCAACUAGAUACAAGCAGUGGAAACUACACGGCUAGAGUACGUUCGGGGCAGAGGGAAUUCCUGGUGUAGCGGUGAAAUGCGUAGAGAUCAGGAAGAACACCGGUGGCGAAGGCGCUCUGCUAGACCGUAACUGACACUGAGGGACGAAAGCUAGGGGAGCGAAUGGG